GUCCUGAGAAAGAGACAUCGAGAGGCGGAGACCGAAAGCCAGCGACUUCAUCGGGCGCUCCGGGAUGCGCUGCUAAAAAAGAAAGAGCUAGAAGAAGAAGUUGAGAAUCUGAGGCAGUCCUGGAUAAGGGGUGGAGCAGAUAAUUCUAGGUCGGAAGGAGCAGAGCUUCCCUAGGGCUCUUUUUGGCCUUCUGUCUUUUCAUGUAUACAU
Molecule: long non-coding RNA, 210 nt
Filed under: Elaeis guineensis (African oil palm)
Lineage: Eukaryota; Viridiplantae; Streptophyta; Magnoliopsida; Arecales; Arecaceae
Description: long non-coding RNA (EGUI_LNC073878)
Source: RNAcentral